CUUCGUGGUGUACUGGUCAGCACGCUCGACGCGUAACCGAGAGGUCCGUGGUUCGAUUCCCGGCGAAG
Molecule: transfer RNA, 68 nt
Filed under: Stegodyphus mimosarum
Lineage: Eukaryota; Metazoa; Arthropoda; Arachnida; Araneae; Eresidae
Rfam family: tRNA
About the family: Transfer RNA (tRNA) molecules are approximately 80 nucleotides in length. Their secondary structure includes four short double-helical elements and three loops (D, anti-codon, and T loops).
Source: Rfam by way of RNAcentral